Molecule: ribosomal RNA, 438 nt
Filed under: uncultured alpha proteobacterium 172-2-2
Lineage: Bacteria; Pseudomonadati; Pseudomonadota; Alphaproteobacteria
Description: bacterial SSU rRNA
Rfam family: Bacterial small subunit ribosomal RNA
Source: RNAcentral
AACGCGAAGAACCUUACCAGCCCUUGACAUCCCGGUCGCGGAUCGCAGAGAUGCUUUCCUUCAGUUCGGCUGGACCGGUGACAGGUGCUGCAUGGCUGUCGUCAGCUCGUGUCGUGAGAUGUUGGGUUAAGUCCCGCAACGAGCGCAACCCCCGCCUUCAGUUGCCAACGGUUCGGCCGUGCACUCUGGAGGAACUGCCUGUGACAAGCAGGAGGAAGGUGGGGAUGACGUCAAGUCCUCAUGGCCCUUAUGGGCCGGGCUACACACGUGCUACAAUGGCGGUGACAGAGGGAUGCAAUACCGCGAGGUGGAGCAAAUCCCUAAAAGCCGUCUCAGUUCGGAUUGUUCUCUGCAACUCGAGAGCAUGAAGUUGGAAUCCGCUAGUAAUCGCGGAUCAGCUCGCCGCGGUGAAUACGUUCCCGGGCCUUGUACACACCG